Long non-coding RNA from Sinocyclocheilus grahami, 462 nucleotides. RefSeq lists it as uncharacterized. The record is from RefSeq and is a predicted model, not a curated record. The transcript has 3 exons. Lineage: Eukaryota; Metazoa; Chordata; Actinopteri; Cypriniformes; Cyprinidae.
CAACAGUGCUUUGAAAACUGCGUCGGAGCCUCGGUACCAUCCGUCCCAUCACUAGAUAACGGUAAAUCAGCGUCUUUUCCGUUGUGUCUACUGCAGGAUGGAUAUAAAAGUAUAAAAUACGUUUUGGUUUGACAACAUCAUUCAUAUGUGAACUAUCACAAAGAAAUAACAAGUGUGAGAAAAGAGAAGUUCAUCAGGCGAGUUGGAGCGUUGGCUUUGUCGAGUCAUACAGUUUAGCGGAGAGCGUCAACCCCUGAUUGACAUGAGGAAAAAAAUCAUUGAGAAGUGUUCAGUGUACAGUGUACCCCUCUUUGUAACAGAGGAAGCAUUAGGACAGAGGAGAAGAGGGAAAGCGAAAAGGCACUCAACAGAUGUCGGAAAAUGCACUGGUAAAAACUAGAAAAAGAAGACCAAAAAUAUAAUUCAACAGAAGAUGAUGGCUGUGGUGAAAUAAGCACUCAA